UCUCAAUAAACACUCUAAGACAUUUUUAUUAAACAUUUUUAGGAAACCAGACACAUGUGUUAUAGUUGAUAUUCCUAAUUAAAAAAAAAAAAAAAAAAGAUUACAACAGCAACAACACAGUUAUUCCAUGUACCAAUGAGAGUGGCUCAUUGUUUUGGCUACACUUUUUUUUGCUGCAGAGAAGAAGCUAUAAAACAUGUCCCUCUAAGAAGCGUGCAUGUCAAAGGCAAGGCUCUGAGAUGACAACAGUCACAUUUGUCUUCCUAACACUCUUCAUUUGGGUUUUGUCAUGUGACACAUGGCUCAACCUGGACCAGUAUGAGCAUUAUGAAGAAACAAAGGCCUUUGCUGCAUUGUGUAAAAAUGUUGCCAUUCAUGACAAUGACAACACAAAACUAACACAGACAUGUGACAGAAUUUCUGAAAUGAGUGUUGGCUCUAAUAAUAUUUUCACACAAGAGAUCAAAACAGACUGUACAGUUUAUGUGGAUCUGGCUUUGAACUGCAUGGCCUCCAAUGGAUGUGUACACCUGCUUCAAGAAUAUAGGUACACUGUGAAAGAAGAUAAGGAAAGCAAGCAUGUACAUAAAUGUAGAAUUCUGCAGUUCUUGGUAUAUUUGCUGUCCAAGACCAACUGUGUUCUACACGUGACACAGCAGAUGUCAUCCAAGGUCUAUUCAACACACUACCCAAAAGAAGUGUUUCUAACACCAGCAGAUGGCGUCAGAGUUACUGUUUACACGGGCAAAAUUGUGCAGCCAACAGAUUCCAGUAAAUGGGUGGGCAAAAUUUUUCAGGCAGCUCUGUUGCUGUUUGCGAUGCACAUGACAAGAAUAGACAUGUCAUCAAGCAGAGUCAGCCUGCAUCAUAACUGCAACUUUUCACCAUCAGUCAACAUGUACCAGCCAUCUCAGUGGUGUAUAAUACUUGCAUGCUUGACCAGUGUAGUGGGGAGAACUGUUCAUGUAUUAAUUAUCUUCAAGGCAGCUCAUCCUGUCAUGAAAUUGUCUUUUUCAACACACUAUCGAUUAAAUGCCCUACUUGUUACUGUGUUGCUCAUCUGGCUGACAUUUAGUAUUUUUUUCCUCAAUAAUAACAUGAAACAUAUGUCAAAAGACCUACUUAUUGAGGGAACUGAUGGAUCAGCACUGAGAUCCUGGGGUGUGUUAAGGCAGAUAGAGCUAUUAGCUACUUUGUGCUGUGUGUUAGUUUCCCUUUCAAGUUUGCGACAAUCCAUCCUAACAAAAGUCAGUUUCUUGAGUAUCCUUUUUCAUGUGCAAUUGGUCACCUGCCACCAGAAUUCUAGGAUCCCAACAAAGUAUCUCUUAAUUGUCAAGAUCAAUAGGUUAAUUUGAAGGUCAUUUUCAAGCAUCCAUCUCUCUCCACUACAGCUGUCAUAUGAAAUGUGAAAACAAAAUGAACAUUUGUAUUAAUGCAGAUUAAAGCUGUAUAAUAAAAG
Molecule: long non-coding RNA, 1459 nt
Filed under: Oreochromis niloticus (Nile tilapia)
Lineage: Eukaryota; Metazoa; Chordata; Actinopteri; Cichliformes; Cichlidae
Description: lncRNA (ENSONIG00000023765.2)
Source: RNAcentral